Molecule: long non-coding RNA, 231 nt
Filed under: Homo sapiens (human)
Lineage: Eukaryota; Metazoa; Chordata; Mammalia; Primates; Hominidae
Description: non-protein coding lnc-DSG1-13:1
Source: RNAcentral
UGCAGCUAAUGAAAAGCGGACUUAUUCAGCAGAACCCCCAAGAAGAUGCAGACUAAGAAAUGCCAAUGCUUUGAUGGGUACAAGGAAGAAAUAGGACUAAGACAAGACAAAUAAUGGAGGACUUACAUGGCAGAGGCAACAAGGAGAAGUGCAGAGACAAGGUGGGGAAAGCCCCUUACAAAACCAUCAGAUCUCGUGAGAACUCAUCCACAUCACAAGAACAGCAUGAAG